This 409-nucleotide ribosomal RNA is filed under the name uncultured bacterium. Its description in RNAcentral is "bacterial SSU rRNA". It matches the Rfam family "Bacterial small subunit ribosomal RNA", at positions 187 to 577 of the family's 1533-position model. The record is from RNAcentral.
GGGGCACGGGGGGAGGAAAGCAGGGGAUCGCAAGACCUCGCGCUAUUGGAUGAGCCAAAGUCGGAUUAGCUAGUUGGUGGGGUAAUGGCCUACCAAGGCGACAAUCCGUAGCUGGUCUGAGAGGACGACCAGCCACACCGGAACUGAGACACGGUCCGGACUCCUACGGGAGGCAGCAGUGGGGAAUAUUGGACAAUGGGGGAAACCCUGAUCCAGCGACGCCGCGUGUGUGAAGAAGGCCUGCGGGUUGUAAAGCACUUUUAGUGGGGACAAAAAGCCAUUGACGAAUACUCGAUGGUCUUGAUUUAACCCAAAGAAAAAGCACCGGCUAACUCUGUGCCAGCAGCCGCGGUAAUACAGAGGGUGCGAGCGUUAAUCGGAAUUACUGGGCGUAAAGCGCGCGUAGACG